Lethenteron reissneri (Far Eastern brook lamprey) is the source of this 478-nucleotide long non-coding RNA. RefSeq lists it as uncharacterized. NCBI's taxonomy places the organism in Eukaryota, Metazoa, Chordata, Hyperoartia, Petromyzontiformes, Petromyzontidae. The record is from RefSeq and is a predicted model, not a curated record.
GGGAGGCAACGGCGGCGGCGGCGGCGGCGGAAGUUGGCAGCGCCGCUCCGUCCGGAACGCCGGCGGCGAAGAGGAAGAGGAGGAGGAAGACGAGCAAACGGAAAGAUGGAGACGUCUCUGGACAGGCGGCGAGCGGCGAUGGCGUGGAUCAGCCGCUUGCUCCGGAGGGCGGCUCGGUCGGCGCGGGGGGUGGUGAUGACGACGCUGCCUCCUCGGAAACGGUUCCUGGAAGGGGCUGCGAGGUUCGUGCGGGGGUCGCCGAGAAGAAGACGAGGAAGAGGCGGCGGAGACGGAACGACGAGGAGAAGGAGGCGGAGCAGAAGGAGACGGAAGAAGCGCCGGACGGGAAGGCGGCGCAGGAAAAGAAAAAAGUCAGGAAAUCGAAGAAGAUAAAAGUCAAAAACGAUCACGGCGACCGUGAUGGAGACGGCCAGGAGGAGCCUGCCCCGGACUUCACUUGGUACGAGAAAGAGAAUGG